RNAcentral lists this ribosomal RNA (251 nucleotides) under uncultured bacterium. RNAcentral describes it as "partial 16S ribosomal RNA". It matches the Rfam family "Bacterial small subunit ribosomal RNA", at positions 524 to 774 of the family's 1533-position model. The record is from RNAcentral.
UACGUAUGGGGCAAGCGUUAUCCGGAUUUACUGGGUGUAAAGGGAGCGCAGGCGGCGCGGCAAGUCAGAUGUGAAAGCCCGGGGCUCAACCCCGGGACUGCAUUUGAAACUGCCGUGCUGGAGUGUCGGAGAGGCAAGUGGAAUUCCUAGUGUAGCGGUGAAAUGCGUAGAUAUUAGGAGGAACACCAGUGGCGAAGGCGGCUUGCUGGACGAUAACUGACGCUGAGGCUCGAAAGCGUGGGGAGCAAACA